CCAUUUUAUUUGCAUGUCCUUACUGUAGGCCUCUGCGGCAGGGGCCGUAUUGAGGUUCCCGUCAGCAAUAUUAAAUCAACAAGCACAAGAAAGAUAUUGUCAUGAGGAACCUUAAUACAGUCCUUGUCGUGGAGGCCUGCAGUGGGGAUAUGUAGGUGGAAUGGGAAAGGGUGAAAAUAAUGGAACCUUUGGCGGGGAGGUCUCGGGUGCUGAUAGCUGAAGCUUUGGAGGUCCUGAGGGUGAGGGGCAAUGGGCGGGUCCUCAAUGGGGGGCCAGCGGUGGAAGUGCUGCAUGAAUGGGCAUAUUUCCUUGGAGGGUCAAAAGAGGCAAAGAGGACAACUGCAUAGCUGCCACCAUGAGAAAGUGUUGGGUGUGCUUCGUGAUGUGGGUAGUUUGCGACAUCAUUUUUUUAUAUGUAAUGUAUUUCAUUUGUUUUUUAUUUACCUAUUUAUCCCG
Molecule: long non-coding RNA, 456 nt
Filed under: Androctonus crassicauda
Lineage: Eukaryota; Metazoa; Arthropoda; Arachnida; Scorpiones; Buthidae
Source: RNAcentral